AGCAGCCGCGGUAAUUCCAGCUCCAAUAGCGUAUAUUAAAGUUGCUGCAGUUAAAAAGCUCGUAGUUGAAUUUCGGGAUCAAUAUGUUGGUCGUGCCUUGGUACGUACUAGCUCAUUGGUUUCUCCCUUCUGACGAACCAUGAUGUCAUUAAUUUGAUGUCAUGGGGAAUCAGGACUGUUACUUUGAAAAAUUAGAGUGUUUAAAGCAGGCUCGCGCUUGAAUACAUUAGCAUGGAAUAAUGAAAUAGGACAUUUGAUUCUAUUUUGUUGGUUUCUAGGAUCGAUGUAAUGAUUAAUAGGGAUAGUUGGGGCAUUAGUAUUCAAUUGUCAGAGGUGAAAUUCUUGGAUUUAUUGAAGACUAACUACUGCGAAAGCAUUUGCCAAGGAUGUUUUCAUUGAUCAAGAACG
RNAcentral lists this ribosomal RNA (408 nucleotides) under uncultured Glomus. RNAcentral describes it as "SSU rRNA". It matches the Rfam family "Eukaryotic small subunit ribosomal RNA", at positions 569 to 985 of the family's 1831-position model. The record is from RNAcentral. Lineage: Eukaryota; Fungi; Glomeromycota; Glomeromycetes; Glomerales; Glomeraceae.